AGCAGCCGCGGUAAUUCCAGCUCCAAUAGCGUAUAUUAAAGUUGCUGCAGUUAAAAAGCUCGUAGUUGAAUUUCGGGACCAAUAUGUCGGUCGUGCCUCGGUACGUACUGGCAUCGUUGGUUUCUCCCUUCUGACGGACCAUGACGUCAUUUAUUUGGUGUCGUGGGGAAUCAGGACUGUUACUUUGAAAAAUUAGAGUAGUUUAAAGCAGGCUCACGCUUGAAUACAUUAGCAUGGAAUAAUGAAAUAGGACGUUUGAUUCUAUUUUGUUGGUUUCUAGGAUCGACGUAAUGAUUAAUAGGGAUAGUUGGGGGCAUUAGUAUUCAAUUGUCAGAGGUGAAAUUCUUGGAUUUAUUGAAGACUAACUACUGCGAAAGCAUUUGCCAAGGAUGUUUUCAUUAAUCAAGAACGAAAGUUAGGGGAUCGAAGACGAUCAGAUACCGUCGUAGUCUUAACCAUAAACUAUGCCGACUAGGGAUCGGAUGAUGUUAAUUUUUAAUGUACUCUA
This 508-nucleotide ribosomal RNA is filed under the name uncultured Glomeraceae. RNAcentral describes it as "SSU rRNA". It matches the Rfam family "Eukaryotic small subunit ribosomal RNA", at positions 569 to 1083 of the family's 1831-position model. The record is from RNAcentral. Lineage: Eukaryota; Fungi; Glomeromycota; Glomeromycetes; Glomerales; Glomeraceae.